CAUAUGUCUUGCCAUUAACUGUAGCUUUUGAUUCUGUGUCUUUCCAUAAGCCUUGCCCAAGGCUAGAAUUUUCAGCAAUUCCUUAUCACUUCUCAACGUGAUAGCACUUGCAUUUUGCCUUGGAUUAACCUCAAUUUGAGAUGGUAAUUUGCUUUGGCAUUCCAGCCUACUCAUAUAUUAUGUUAAUUGGCUCACUUGGGUCUCCAACUUACUUAUUUAUAUUGAGUAAAGGAAUCUUUACCUUGACUUUGUGAAAAGUUUCUAGGAUCUCCUUGUCAUUUCUUUCUUUCCUUAAUUGCGCAAUCUUUAUGGAAAUGGUAGAGGGAUUAUGAAUUAUGCUAGUUAGUUAGAGUUUGGCUUUGUUCCAUAUGUCUUGCCAUCAACUGUAGCUUUUGAUUCUGUGUCUUUCCAUAAGCCUUGCCCAAGGCUAGAAUUUUCAGCAAUUCCUUAUCACUUCUCAACGUGAUAGCACUUGCAUUUUGCCUUGGAUUAACCUCAAUUUGAGAUGGUAAUUUGCUUUGGCAUUCCAGCCUACUCAUAUAUUAUGUUAAUUGGCUCACUUGGGUCUCCAACUUACUUAUUUAUAUUGAGUAAAGGAAUCUUUAGCUUGACUUUGU
RNAcentral lists this long non-coding RNA (617 nucleotides) under Carica papaya (papaya). RNAcentral's name for it is "long non-coding RNA (CPAP_LNC003701)". The record is from RNAcentral. Lineage: Eukaryota; Viridiplantae; Streptophyta; Magnoliopsida; Brassicales; Caricaceae.